Molecule: RNase P RNA, 353 nt
Filed under: uncultured Prevotella sp.
Lineage: Bacteria; Pseudomonadati; Bacteroidota; Bacteroidia; Bacteroidales; Prevotellaceae
Description: Bacterial RNase P class A
Rfam family: Bacterial RNase P class A
About the family: Ribonuclease P (RNase P) is a ubiquitous endoribonuclease, found in archaea, bacteria and eukarya as well as chloroplasts and mitochondria.
Source: RNAcentral
GCUUGUCGCCGGCACCUUUUAGGGUGCGGGAGGAAAGUCCGGGCAGCAUAGGGCAUCCCACUUCUGAAAAUGGAAGCUGUUGGCGACGGCAGGCAAGGGCAGAAGAAAACAACCGCCCCACAUCGUGUGGAGUAAGGGUGAGAAGGUGGUGUAAGAGACCACCAGCCGAUGGGUGAUCAUCGGGCUGUGUCCGCUGGGAGCUGCAAGUUCGCGUAUACCAUCGUCUGAGGGCGGCCCGUCCGAAUUAUUACGAUGGAGGGUAGAACGCUGGAGCCGUAGGGUGACUUGCGGUGUAGAUAAAUGACAGGCGCGGCAUUUCGAUGCCGGCACAGAACCCGGCUUAUAGGGGCUCU